GACGAACGCUGGCGGCGUGCUUAACACAUGCAAGUCGAACGGAAAGGCCCUGCUUUUGUGGGUUGCUCGAGUGGCGAACGGGUGAGUAACACGUGAGUAACCUGCCCUUGACUUUGGGAUAACUUCAGGAAACUGGGGCUAAUACCGGAUAGGAGCUCCUGCUGCAUGGUGGGGGUUGGAAAGUUUCGGCGGUUGGGGAUGGACUCGCGGCUUAUCAGCUUGUUGGUGGGGUAGUGGCUUACCAAGGCUUUGACGGGUAGCCGGCCUGAGAGGGUGACCGGCCACAUUGGGACUGAGAUACGGCCCAGAAUCCUACGGGAGGCAGCAGUGGGGAAUAUUGCACAAUGGGCGGAAGCCUGAUGCAGCAACGCCGCGUGCGGGAUGACGGCCUUCGGGUUGUAAACCGCUUUCGCCGGUGACGAAGCGUGAGUGACGGUAAUGGGUAAAGAAGCAACGGCUAACUACGUG
RNAcentral lists this ribosomal RNA (468 nucleotides) under uncultured bacterium. RNAcentral's name for it is "partial 16S ribosomal RNA". It matches the Rfam family "Bacterial small subunit ribosomal RNA", at positions 28 to 507 of the family's 1533-position model. The record is from RNAcentral.